GUUCCGUAGGUGAACCUGCGGAAGGAUCAUUAAUGAGUUGUCAUGGGGUUCGAUGCUGGCAGCCAAUUUUUGGAUGCAUGUGCUUGCCCUAACAAUCAUCUUCCAAACACCUGUGCACAUUUUUGAGGGAGUCUUGAGUUGGUUGCCGCUCUUGGGUGAUUUUCUCACAUUCCCUUAAAUCAUUAUACGCUAUUAACAAUGUUGAACGUGCUCUGUGCCGCAAGGCUAUUAAUAUAAUACAACUUUUAACAACGGAUCUCUUGGCUCUC
RNAcentral lists this unclassified non-coding RNA (269 nucleotides) under plant metagenome. RNAcentral describes it as "partial contains small subunit ribosomal RNA, internal transcribed spacer 1, and 5.8S ribosomal RNA". The record is from RNAcentral.